CCUACGGGUGGCAGCAGUCGAGAAUCAUUCACAAUGGGGGAAACCCUGAUGGUGCGACGCCGCGUGGGGGAAUGAAGGUCUUCGGAUUGUAAACCCCUGUCAUGUGGGAGCAAAUUAAAAAGAUAGUACCACAAGAGGAAGAGACGGCUAACUCUGUGCCAGCAGCCGCGGUAAUACAGAGGUCUCAAGCGUUGUUCGGAAUCACUGGGCGUAAGGCGUGCGUAGGCUGUUUCGUAAGUCGUGUGUGAAAGGCGCGGGCUCAACCCGCGGACGGCACCUGAUACUGCGAGACUAGAGUAAUGGAGGGGGAACCGGAAUGCUCGGUGUAGCAGUGAAAUGCGUAGAUAUCGAGAGGAACACUCGUGGCGAAGGCGGGUUCCUGGACAUUAACUGACGCUGAGGCACGAAGGCCAGGGGAGCGAAAGGGAUUAGAUACCCCAGUAGUC
Molecule: ribosomal RNA, 446 nt
Filed under: uncultured bacterium
Lineage: Bacteria
Description: partial 16S ribosomal RNA
Rfam family: Bacterial small subunit ribosomal RNA
Source: RNAcentral